UUAGGAAUAUUCCGCAAUGGGGGAAACCCUGACGGAGCGACACCGCGUGAAGGAUGAAGCCCUUUUUGGGUGUAAACUUCUGUUGUGAGGGACGAAAUUUUUGACGGUACCUCACGAGAAAGCACCGGCUAAUUCUGUGCCAGCAGCCGCGGUAAGACAGAAGGUGCAAGCGUUACUCGGAAUUACUGGGCGUAAAGCGUCUGUAGGUGUCCUAUAAAGUCUGGUGUCAAAUCGCAGGGCUCAACCCCGCGUCCACACUGGAAACUGAUGGGAUCGAGUUGGUCAGAGGCAUCUGGAAUGUCGUGUGUAGGGGUAAAAUCCGUAGAUACACGAUGGAACGCCAAAAGCGAAGGCAGGAUGCUAGGACCAUACUGACACUCAGAGACGAAAGCGUGGGGAGCAAAGGGG
This 408-nucleotide ribosomal RNA is filed under the name uncultured bacterium. RNAcentral describes it as "bacterial SSU rRNA". It matches the Rfam family "Bacterial small subunit ribosomal RNA", at positions 355 to 776 of the family's 1533-position model. The record is from RNAcentral.